RNAcentral lists this ribosomal RNA (404 nucleotides) under Pseudomonas sp. RNAcentral describes it as "partial 16S ribosomal RNA". It matches the Rfam family "Bacterial small subunit ribosomal RNA", at positions 355 to 776 of the family's 1533-position model. The record is from RNAcentral. Lineage: Bacteria; Pseudomonadati; Pseudomonadota; Gammaproteobacteria; Pseudomonadales; Pseudomonadaceae. RNAcentral also lists the same sequence under 3 other names.
UGGGGAAUAUUGGACAAUGGGCGCAAGCCUGAUCCAGCCAUGCCGCGUGAGUGAUGAAGGCCCUAGGGUUGUAAAGCUCUUUCACCGGUGAAGAUAAUGACGGUAACCGGAGAAGAAGCCCCGGCUAACUUCGUGCCAGCAGCCGCGGUAAUACGAAGGGGGCUAGCGUUGUUCGGAUUUACUGGGCGUAAAGCGCACGUAGGCGGACUUUUAAGUCAGGGGUGAAAUCCCGGGGCUCAACCCCGGAACUGCCUUUGAUACUGGAAGUCUUGAGUAUGGUAGAGGUGAGUGGAAUUCCGAGUGUAGAGGUGAAAUUCGUAGAUAUUCGGAGGAACGCCAGUGGCGAAGGCGGCUCACUGGACCAUUACUGACGCUGAGGUGCGAAAGCGUGGGGAGCAAACAGG